This 352-nucleotide ribosomal RNA is filed under the name uncultured bacterium. RNAcentral's name for it is "bacterial SSU rRNA". It matches the Rfam family "Bacterial small subunit ribosomal RNA", at positions 71 to 422 of the family's 1533-position model. The record is from RNAcentral.
AGCCGGACUUCGGUCCGGUGGAAAGCGGCGAACGGGUGCGUAACACGUGAGCAACCUGCCCCGAAGACCGGGAUAACCCGAGGAAACUCGGGCUAAUACCGGAUGUCCUCUUCUGAUCGCAUGGUCGGACGAGGAAAUGUUCAGGCGCUUCGGGAUGGGCUCGCGGUCUAUCAGCUUGUUGGUGGGGUAACGGCCUACCAAGGCGACGACGGAUAGCUGGUCUGAGAGGACGAUCAGCCACACUGGAACUGAAACACGGUCCAGACUCCUACGGGAGGCAGCAGUGGGGAAUCUUGCGCAAUGGACGAAAGUCUGACGCAGCCACGCCGCGUGAGUGAAGAAGGCCUUCGGG